UGAAAUUUGUGUGUUUCAGGCUCUCUCACAUGAGCAAUGGAUAGUUGGUAAUAUUUGCACAUUAGUUUUAACCAGUGUCUAUCUUAGAUGAAUGUAACAGUGUCUGAGAAGCCUGUGCAGAAUGAAAGUGUCAAGACACGUGAAGUCCUGUUUGUCCUGAGGAAGCUUCUAUUACUGACAAACCAAGAAAACACCCUGUGAACACUUUUAAAAUUUGUGAAAAGAGGAGAUGAGAAGUCAUAGGAUUUCUGUCACUGUCACUGCAGUUCUAAGAACUAGUUUGCUGAAUGUGGAAUAAGUCUGGGACUCCAGCCUUUUUUUGCCCUGUGACUGGAAGAAACUGUCAACAGCACUCCAACUUGAGCUGAAGAAAUACCACAAGAAAACUGCUCUUACUGAAUUUCCAGAUGCUUGAAGCAGGUUGGCCUGGGAAUUGCAAUGUAUCCAUCAGAACCCUUUCCUCCUUUUCUCUUUACAAUCCCCAUGAUCCUGGUAGAUCACCACCUUCCAGAUGUGGUAAGCAACACAGAUAUCACCCUUACAAAGCUGCGCUGUUCUUUGUCUAUCACCUAGCAUUGGAGAAGGAUGGGGCACCCAAGGGCUGUGAGAUGCAAUAAGAUGGAAGAUAUUGCCCUCCCCUUCAUUUACCCCCUCAAAAAGUGGUUUCCAGGUUUAAGAAUGAAUGGACACAGAGAUGUUGCAGGAACAAGCAAAGAGUGUGCUGACACUUUAGAGACAAAAAAUGUAGCACCCAGAGAAGGGGUCAGAACAAGUGACUGAAAACAUGGCUCAAACAGCAGUGCAGAAUGACUUGUUUUAAGCUGGUUAAAACAAGCAGUUUGGGAACUAGCUCUGGCUUCAGCAACCAUGUACUUUAGCUCCUCCAGCUCAGUCUGUUUGGAGAAAUAUCUUUUUCUUUUCCCAGAGGAACAUCAUGAGAUGAUAGCAAGUAUCAGGCAAAAGACCAUGUCACCAUGCACAUUUGGUAAAACAGGUGAUGAAACAGGGCCAAAGUGAGGUUAGGAAGUCAGGCAGCAUGUUGGGGUCAGGAGCAAACAGGAGAAAGACUGCAACACAACGCCAGGAAGACCAAGGGCAAGAGAAGCUUGAGAAGUCACCAAGGAAAGGGGUGUGAGCUGUGCCUGAGCCUUUCCAACAGCACAGUGUGGAUGAGCUCCCUCAAUAUCAUCACCUUGCUAUACAAAUAUGUGAGAGAAAGCAUAUUUCAUACAUGCUGCAGAAAAUGGUGGCAGAGUUUGCAGUGGUCUCUAAUUUCAUAUGAUAGUGAUGGUUUCAUGGUUUCUGGUGUCCCUCAUUUAUCCACCCCUGCCAAGAACCACACCACCUAUGGUUCCUCUGCCAAGCAUUUUAGCCAUCCUCAGAAUAGAUUUUUGAAUGCCUGAAAGACAGUGAGCAGGAGCCAUUUCAAACAUUUCAUUUAUGUCCUUGAUUGAAGUAUUUCUUUCCAUGGUCUGCAUUGAGAUCCAACCCUGUAACUACCCCAGAGUGUGGGUGGGCAGGAUUGGUCCCUGCUCUUUCAUUCUUAAAUGCUAUAGUUCUUUACAUUCUUCCUGGAUAUUUUGAAAAUAUAGGAAUUCUGUUCAUCACAGUUCAAUGUGCAGCACGCACAAUCUAUAGGACUUAAAGAAAAGCUGUGUUCCACACUUAUCGUCAACCUGUGGCUCAUUUUUUGUGAGCAACUAUUGCAGAACCCUAACUCCAGCUACACAAAGACUGUUUCAGAGCAAGUAAAUCCUCAGGUGGUACAAAUGUCUGCUCUCCUGAAGGCUGCAGUAAUAACACUUGGGGCCUAAUGCAGUCACACUUCACAGCCCUCCCAACUGCAAUGAGUCACCGGAGUGAUUCAGAGCAGCGCUGGUAAAGUGCCCUGAAACCUAUCUUUUGCCCACCUGCACAGCCUCCUCAGGUUGUGUCAUGCUUUUACUAUCUGUCAACAGGUAUUAUUUAGAACUGUUGACAAAUCACAAUAGGAACUGCCUCCUGACUUUAAAAAGUUAUAUUCAUAAAGCACUUGGCACAUGCUCUGAUGUAAUUUCAGGAGUUCCACUUCUAGUUCCAACUUAAACCCAGGAAAAGCAGAAGUGGAAAUAUAUUUUUAAUAGUUGACUGAGAAUUUUCAGACCUUGACAUGGCCUCAGAUUCAAUAUAGCUUGCCAAAUUUGGGAUGAAAUUUUGAACCUGUUUAAAAGUUUCACAGGAAAGAAAGGCAUCACAGAGUAGUAGUUAGAGUAGGCAAUAUGAAGUGAAUGAUCUGAAUUAUUUUUCAGAUAUUAUCCUGGGAUGGAUGUAUACCCACAGAAAAGCUCUGAAUCUAUCUCUAUUUCUAAAUAGGCACACAGUAAAUAACAUCUAUAAUUAUAUUUUUUAUAAUAAAUGCAGUAUAUUAAAAUUAUUACAUAAUACUAUUCCUAAUAAUACUACUCCGAAAGGCAAUAUAAAGGUAAUUGAAAAACAAACAAAAGGCAUGCUAAAGCUAAACUGCAGAAAGGCCCAAAUCCAGCUAAGCACUUAAACACAUGCAUAACUUCAAGCAGUAAGUAUUAAUGUCUCUCACAUAUAUGAUGUUCUGCAUAUGCUUAAGUGCUUAACUGGACUGGAGCCUAAAUUCACAAAAGCAACACUAAAUCUCUAUCCUUAAUUUUUGCACCUUUGCUAAAUUCUUGCUUUAAUGCUCUUUAUAUUCACAAUUUUAUUUAUAUUUGCAGGAAAGAAACAUACUUCUGGAUGGUAUUUGUAUGUCCAUGUGCAUGUGCAUCUGUAUGUCUAUAGUCUAGGCAUAAUUUUUAGAGUGUUCUCUCUCAUUUCUGAUAUCAAUAUUUUCUUAUUGAUCAGACCAUUAAUAUGCAUUUGUUCAAGCAGCACCACAAGAUUUUUUUCAUAGAACUUUCCUGCCAAAAGGAGUGCACUGGCAUGAAUAUCACCAUUGUAUUCAUAAGACAUGACACAGCCCCACAUUAUUUAAGUGACAAAAAUAACACUAGUCAGCCUUGAUUCAGAAGCUGUGCAAGUUUGUUAAUGUGGGGCUGUGUUUUCAGCAGGACUUAUAGUCUUACACAUAACACAGUCCUUAAUGAAACAACUUAACUUUCAAAUCACAAAAUCACAUCUGGAUGAUAUUCAGCCUUCUGGGAGGGCAAAUUGAAAGAAAAUAGGUCUUUUGACCAAUGGUCAUGGAGACAUAGACAUUAAUAUUAGUUAAAAAUUCUAAAAUUCUUCAGUUGAGAGCCAUUGUCAGGGCUAUUGUACACUGUGAGUGUGACAUCUACACAAAAAAAAAUAAAAUUAAUUAAAAGAAAUGUAAUCUAACAUUAUUUUCUAUUUAUUUAUUGGUUUAUUUAUUUGGAAACAAACAUGAACUCAUUAUUUACAUGGCUUUUUGCUUUGAAGGAAGAAAUUUCUAUAAAUGAAAGUAAUGCCAUCUUUUACCUGUUUUCUCAAGUUAAAUGAAACUAUUCCAGAAAUUUCCAAUACAGAUGGGUGUGUGCCAAAUGGCUUAGAAUUCCAGUUUAAUCUCACUCUGGGCCCAGCUCUCUAGAUGUUUAUCCAAAGCUCCUAUGAAUGAAUCAGAUCUUCAGACAACCAGAUUAAGAAGAAUAAUUAUUUACCUAUAUUAUUGUUGCGUUGGUGUAAAGCAGAGGUUUUAGGAUUAUGGUGGUUAGAAAUGGAUUAAAGCAUAUGUUAAAAGGUUAGCUUUGUUCAAUAUUUUAAGUCUGUGUUUCAGUUUCAAGUGUUCCUGUAGCAGUAGUUACAGAGAUUUGUGUAUCUGGGUUAGUUUAGGUGUUGCAAGUUGAUGAUAAGACCUCAUUGGGUUUUGUGUCUCUGUUUUGAAGAAUGGUCACUUUAAGCUUAUCUAAAGCUUGUGUGAUAGCUC
Long non-coding RNA from Oxyura jamaicensis (ruddy duck), 3892 nucleotides. RefSeq lists it as uncharacterized. The transcript is spliced from 3 exons. Lineage: Eukaryota; Metazoa; Chordata; Aves; Anseriformes; Anatidae. The record is from RefSeq and is a predicted model, not a curated record.